This 216-nucleotide long non-coding RNA is filed under the name Prunus persica (peach). RNAcentral's name for it is "long non-coding RNA (PPER_LNC002597)". Lineage: Eukaryota; Viridiplantae; Streptophyta; Magnoliopsida; Rosales; Rosaceae. The record is from RNAcentral.
AACUCCAUCACCAUCAUUUUGGGAUGAUGUGAGGUAUAUUUGAUGCUAUCUCCGCAUAACACCUUGUACGGGCAUAUUCUUUCAAGUGAACUUACAAAUAGCCCAAGUUUUGUUAGAAACGCGGACUCUGAAAAUUUCUAUGAUUUACAUAGAGAUAGCUCACUGGAAAUAUAUUUACUUACUCAACUACGAGAAUUAUUAAUGGCUAUAUCCUCC